AGCAGCCGCGGUAAUUCCAGCUCCAAUAGCGUAUAUUAAAGUUGUUGCAGUUAAAAAGCUCGUAGUUGAAUUUCGGGAUCAAUACGUUGGUCGUGCUUUCGGGUACGUACUGGCGUCAUUGGUUUCUCUCUUCUGACGAACCAUGAUGUCAUUAGUUUGGUGUUAUGGGGAGUUAGGACUGUUACUUUGAAAAAAUUAGAGUGUUUAAAGCAGGCUCGCGCUUGAAUACAUUAGCAUGGAAUAAUGAAAUAGGAUGUUUGACCCUAUUUUGUUGGUUUCUAGGAUCGACGUAAUGAUUAAUAGGGAUAGUUGGGGGCAUUAGUAUUCAAUUGUCAGAGGUGAAAUUCUUGGAUUUAUUGAAGACUAACUACUGCGAAAGCAUUUGCCAAGAAUGUUUUCAUUAAUCAAGAACGAAAGUUAGGGGAUCGAAGACGAUCAGAUACCGUCGUAGUCUUAACCAUAAACUAUGCCGACUAGGGAUCGGAUGAUGUUAUUUUUUAAUGACUCAUUCGGCGCCUUA
Molecule: ribosomal RNA, 520 nt
Filed under: uncultured Glomus
Lineage: Eukaryota; Fungi; Glomeromycota; Glomeromycetes; Glomerales; Glomeraceae
Description: SSU rRNA
Rfam family: Eukaryotic small subunit ribosomal RNA
Source: RNAcentral